CCAUUUUUUAUGAAAUUACAUUUCAUCGUGAUUUAUUUUUUCCUUCAGUGGAUAUUAUCCCCUAUUGUUCACGGAGACAAACAGAGAAAGAGAGGAAUAGGAAGAGAGAAAUCUUGGAUUAAGUUCAACCGAGCGACUGAUUCAUGUCGUGGGAUGUCAUGUUUCAACCAGUACAUUUGGUAUCAGUUUGAACCAUUAAUAUAUUUGCUCGAGUUGGAGAAAUCAGAACAUAUAUGACUAACAUCCAUAUGUAACUGAGUUAUGUUGAUUCCUAGCAAUUACCUCGAGGUAGACAAACAAUUCAGUUCUCCCCAUUCAAAUAAUCUGACAUGAUUUUGUUGUGUUUUGAGUACUCAUAUAUUGAGGCUUAUUGCAAUGGAGUUGCAAUUCGAUUUACUUAUUUGUGUUUAUAUGUCUGUGUGGAAGGUGGGAAGGGGUUUGGAUGGGAUUUGGUUGUGUACGUUAACUUCAAUUCAUUUUAUUUGUUGAGGAUUUGGUUGUGUACGUUGUAUAACUUAAUUCAUUUAUUUGUCGGGAUUUGUUGUUAAUGGAGUUGUUGUUGACGGUGGUUGAUGGAUCGUAAUGCAGAGGUGAUGCUGCGAUAGGAUUGAGCUGUUGUUGAUUACCAAAGUUUCAUCAUUUUUACGAUUAAUUUGUUUGAUGGGAUCUUCAUCUAUCCCGUAGACAUUGAUUUUGAGUUAAUAAUAUGUUUUGAUUGC
Papaver somniferum (opium poppy) is the source of this 719-nucleotide long non-coding RNA. RefSeq lists it as uncharacterized. The record is from RefSeq and is a predicted model, not a curated record. The transcript has 2 exons. Lineage: Eukaryota; Viridiplantae; Streptophyta; Magnoliopsida; Ranunculales; Papaveraceae.